CGGAAGGUGGAGGAGGACGAGCGCCUGAGGCUGGAGCUGCAGGUGGUGGAGGCGGAGAGGGUGCGGCUGUCCCUGCUGGAGGAGAAGCUGGUGGAUGUGCUGCAGCUCCUGCAGAGGCUGCGGGACCUGAACAUAUCGAAAAGAGCCCUGGGGAAGAUUCUGCUGAGCGCGCUGGACGCCUGCGGGGACCCUGCACGCGAGACAGCAGGCCCCUUGGCCACCCUGGACGCCCUGCACCGGGCCCUCGCUGGCAGUGAGCUCUUGCAGACUGAGCCCCCAGCACCAGCCGCUGCUGCUCCGGCGCUCGCCAGUCCCUUCCUCAUCCCCUGCUGAGGUCGCUGGCCAGUCUGUGGGCAUCCUGGUAAGCCAGACCGGUCUCCAGGGCCAGCCUGGCCACUGCCUCCGGGCAC
Molecule: long non-coding RNA, 410 nt
Organism: Condylura cristata (star-nosed mole)
Lineage: Eukaryota; Metazoa; Chordata; Mammalia; Eulipotyphla; Talpidae
Exons: 3
Source: RefSeq, a predicted model, not a curated record